RNAcentral lists this ribosomal RNA (440 nucleotides) under uncultured bacterium. RNAcentral's name for it is "partial 16S ribosomal RNA". It matches the Rfam family "Bacterial small subunit ribosomal RNA", at positions 338 to 795 of the family's 1533-position model. The record is from RNAcentral.
CCUACGGGAGGCAGCAGUGGGGAAUAUUGCACAAUGGGGGGAACCCUGAUGCAGCGAUGCCGCGUGGGUGAAGAAGCAUUUCGGUGUGUAAAGCUCUGUCAGCAGGGAAGAAACCCACAGUACGUGGACACGAAGCACAGGCUAAUUACGUGCCAGGAGCCGCGGCAAUACGUAGGGGGCAAGCGUUAUCCGGAUUUACUGGGUGUAAAGGGAGCGUAGGCGGAGUGGCAAGUUAGAGGUGAAAACCCGGGGCCCAACCCCGGAAGUGCAUUUGAAACUGCCAAGCUGGAGUGCCGGAGCGGUAAGCGGAAUUCCUGGUGUAGCGGUGAAAUGCGUAGAUAUUAGGAGGAACACCAGUGGCGGAGGCGGCUUACUGGACGGUAACUGACGCUGAGGCUCGAAAGCGUGGGGAGCAAACAGGAUUAGAUACCCCAGUAGUC